CCUACGGGGGGCAGCAGUGGGGAAUAUUGGACAAUGGGGGCAACCCUGAUCCAGCCAUGCCGCGUGUGUGAAGAAGGCCCUCGGGUUGUAAAGCACUUUCAGUGAGGAAGAACGCCUGGUGGUUAAUACCCAUCAGGAAAGACAUCACUCACAGAAGAAGCACCGGCUAACUCCGUGCCAGCAGCCGCGGUAAUACGGAGGGUGCGAGCGUUAAUCGGAAUUACUGGGCGUAAAGCGCGCGUAGGUGGCUUGAUAAGCCGGUUGUGAAAGCCCCGGGCUCAACCUGGGAACGGCAUCCGGAACUGUCAAGCUAGAGGGCAGGAGAGGAAGGUAGAAUUCCCGGGGUAGCGGUGAAAUGCGUAGAGAUCGGGAGGAAUACCAGUGGCGAAGGCGGCCUUCUGGACUGACACUGACACUGAGGUGCGAAAGCGUGGGUAGCAAACAGGAUUAGAUACCCUAGUAGUC
This 465-nucleotide ribosomal RNA is filed under the name Vreelandella stevensii. Its description in RNAcentral is "partial 16S ribosomal RNA". It matches the Rfam family "Bacterial small subunit ribosomal RNA", at positions 338 to 795 of the family's 1533-position model. Lineage: Bacteria; Pseudomonadati; Pseudomonadota; Gammaproteobacteria; Oceanospirillales; Halomonadaceae. The record is from RNAcentral.